GGUGAAAGAUGGGCCCGCGUCUGAUUAGCUAGUUGGUGGGGUAACGGCUCACCAAGGCGACGAUCAGUAGCCGACCUGAGAGGGUGAUCGGCCACAUUGGAACUGAGACACGGUCCAAACUCCUACGGGAGGCAGCAGUGGGGAAUAUUGCACAAUGGGCGAAAGCCUGAUGCAGCAACGCCGCGUGAACGAAGAAGGCCUUCGGGUCGUAAAGUUCUGUCCAAAGGGAAGAAAAGAAUGACGGUACCUAUGGAGGAAGCCCCGGCUAAAUACGUGCCAGCAGCCGCGGUAAUACGUAUGGGGCAAGCGUUAUCCGGAAUUAUUGGGCGUAAAGAGUGCGUAGGUGGUGGCUUAAGCGCAGGGUUUAAGGCAAUGGCUUAACUAUUGUUCGCCUUGCGAACUGGGUCACUUGAGUACAGGAGAGGAAAGCGGAAUUCCUAGUGUAGCGGUGAAAUGCAUAGAUAUUAGGAGGAACACCGGUGGCGAAGGCGGCUUUCUGGACUGCAACUGACACUGAGGCACGAAAGCGUGGGUAGCAAACAGGAUUAGAUACCCUGGUAGUCCACGCCGUAAACGAUGAGCACUAGGUGUCGGCCAAUAAAGGUCGGUGCCGCAGUUAACGCAUUAAGUGCUCCGCCUGGGG
Molecule: ribosomal RNA, 643 nt
Filed under: uncultured bacterium
Lineage: Bacteria
Description: bacterial SSU rRNA
Rfam family: Bacterial small subunit ribosomal RNA
Source: RNAcentral